RNAcentral lists this ribosomal RNA (440 nucleotides) under uncultured bacterium. RNAcentral describes it as "partial 16S ribosomal RNA". It matches the Rfam family "Bacterial small subunit ribosomal RNA", at positions 338 to 795 of the family's 1533-position model. The record is from RNAcentral.
CCUACGGGGGGCAGCAGUGGGGAAUAUUGCACAAUGGGGGGAACCCUGAUGCAGCAACGCCGCGUGGGUGAAGAAGUACUUCGGUAUGUAAAGCCCUGUCAGCAGGGAAGUAAAUGACGGUACCUGACCCAGAUGCCCCGGCUAACUACGUGCCAGAUGCCGCGGUAAUACGUAGGGGGCAAGCGUUAUCCGGAUUUACUGGGUGUAAAGGGAGCGUAGACGGCAAGGAAAGUCUGUAGUGAAAGCCCGUGGCUCAACCACGGGACUGCUUUGGAAACUGUGUUGCUUGAGUGCAGGCGGGGUAAGCGGAAUUCCUAGUGUAGCGGUGAAAUGCGUAGAUAUUAGGAGGAACACCGGUGGCGAAGGCGGCUUACUGGACUGUAACUGACGUUGAGGCUCGAAGGCGUGGGGAGCAAACAGGAUUAGAUACCCGUGUAGUC